RNAcentral lists this ribosomal RNA (490 nucleotides) under uncultured bacterium. RNAcentral describes it as "partial 16S ribosomal RNA". It matches the Rfam family "Bacterial small subunit ribosomal RNA", at positions 30 to 507 of the family's 1533-position model. The record is from RNAcentral.
AUUGAACGCUGGCGGCAGGCCUAACACAUGCAAGUCGAACGGUAACAGGAAGAAGCUUGCUUCUUUGCUGACGAGUGGCGGACGGGUGAAUAAUGUCUGGGAAACUGCCUGAUGGAGGGGGAUAACUACUGGAAACGGUAGCUAAUACCGCAUAACGUCGCAAGACCAAAAAGGGGGACCUUCGGGCCUCUUGCCAUCGGAUGUGCCCAGAUGGGAUUAGCUAGUAGGUGGGGUAACGGCUCACCUAGGCGACGAUCCCUAGCUGGUCUGAGAGGAUGACCAGCCACACUGGAACUGAGACACGGUCCAGACUCCUACGGGAGGCAGCAGUGGGGAAUAUUGCACAAUGGGCGCAAGCCUGAUGCAGCCAUGCCGCGUGUAUGAAGAAGGCCUUCGGGUUGUAAAGUACUUUCAGCGGGGAGGAAGGGAGUAAAGUUAAUACCUUUGCUCAUUGACGUUACCCGCAGAAGAAGCACCGGCUAACUCCGUG